UGCGGAGGAAUGGAGCUGUGCUCGUUGCUAGACGUGGUGGCUGUCUAUAUUUCUCUCUCCAUUUCUCUCUCUCUCGUUGUAGUCUGCGGUGGACCUGCUGGAGUGAAAGGAAAAUCCUAUGGGUAGAAGGAACCUUGGUCUAAACAGCACUUUUGAAGGAGUAAAGCAGGAAGAAAAUCGACCUUGUUGUACAACGUAAACAAAGGCUAUCCGCUGUGAGUAUACAUUUUGGUGUGGAGCAACUUGCAGAAAUUAACCUGUGUAAUCGUUGGAAACCUCCAGGAGAAGGAGGGCGGCCCUACCCCUAAAACAGCGUGGUGGGCGAGCCGUUAGGAGCGUCAAUCCAAGCAGCCACAGCAACGAAACAUUAUUCUGGUCGUAUUUCCAUCGCCCUUAUUUCAGCCCAAGUGAAGUGGAGGACGCCGGGCGUUUCCUUUGUGUGUACACUUAUAGUGUGGUGAGUGAGACUUUGCAAUUAAUAAGCUUUUCACGUUGGAGUGGUGCUGUGUAUUUGCUGUGGGUUGCUGUGUGUCUUGUCAGACGAAGCCCCGCAUCAUCCAUUCUUCUACUGGGCAGAGGACGGAGAGGCUAACGACCUCAGAAUUUACAGCUACCAUACGCAGUGUGCUGUUUUGGAGUGUGAAGGGACGCAGAUCAAGAGCUGUCAGUGACUCGACCACCUGUGGAGAGAAAGGAGAACGAGAGUGAAUAAUUGGAGAACAGACUGUGUAACGUGAUACCUACCCAGAGAGCUGUAAACAGCAGAGCCGGUGAGAAAUACUCGAAGUCCAAGUAACAGUGUCUUUGUGUCCUAGUGGCCACCUGUGGAGAGAAAGGAGAACGAGAGUGAAUAAUUGGAGAACAGACUGUGUAACGUGAUACCUACCCAGAGAGCUGUAAACAGCCGAGCCGGUGAGGAAUACUCGAAGUCCAAGUAACAGUGUCUUUGUGUCCUAGCGACCACCUGUGGAGAGAAAGGAGAACGAGAGUGAAUAAUUGGAGAACAGACUGUGUAACGUGAUACCUACCCAGAGAGCUGUAAACAGCAGAGCCGGUGAGAAAUACUCGAAGUCCAAGUAACAGUGUCUUUGUGUCCUAGUGGCCACCUGUGGAGAGAAAGGAGAACGAGAGUGAAUAAUUGGAGAACAGACUGUGUAACGUGAUACCUACCCAGAGAGCUGUAAACAGCCGAGCCGUGACCACCUGUGGGGAGCAAGGAGAACGAGGGUGAACGUACGACGGGGAACGUGAAGGCACGUGGGGCGAGGACCCCCUGCCGAACAGAGGAAAGGUACGCAGACAGCGGAAAAUCUCCUUACCAGUCACACUGAAUUUGUUCUGCCUCCAGGAAGGAAGAAGGAGGGCGCCACGGAUAGCAGGGUCCAGGCCGGAGCCUGACGUUUCCCCUUUCCCCCGGAUUACGGUGGUUUGCACCCCUGUUGCCCUUGCCCCUGUCUGCCCGUGGCUGCAGUCCCCCUGGAGGGAGGAGAAGAAGCCCAUUAGUUUUAAUUCCCCCUUUCCCCAUUUCCCCAGUUCUUUUAAAUAUUUAAACCAAA
Molecule: non-coding RNA, 1556 nt
Organism: Paramisgurnus dabryanus
Lineage: Eukaryota; Metazoa; Chordata; Actinopteri; Cypriniformes; Cobitidae
Source: RefSeq, a predicted model, not a curated record